GACGAACGCUGGCGGCGUGCUUAACACAUGCAAGUCGAACGGUGAAGGGACCGGUUUUUGCUGGUUCUGGAUGAGUGGCGAACGGGUGAGUAACACGUGAGUAACCUGCCCCCUUCUUCUGGAUAACCGCAUGAAAGUGUGGCUAAUACGGGAUAUUCUGCGCCUGCUGCAUGGUGGGUGUGGGAAAGAUAUUGUUUCGGUGGGGGAUGGGCUCGCGGCCUAUCAGCUUGUUGGUGGGGUGAUGGCCUACCAAGGCGGUGACGGGUAGCCGGCCUGAGAGGGUGGACGGUCACACUGGGACUGAGACACGGCCCAGACUCCUACGGGAGGCAGCAGUGGGGAAUAUUGCACAAUGGGCGCAGGCCUGAUGCAGCGACGCCGCGUGAGGGAUGGAGGCCUUCGGGUUGUAAACCUCUUUCGCCAGUGAAGCAGGCCUGUCCCUUUUGUGGGUGGGUUGACGGUAGCUGGAUAAGAAGCGCCGGCUAACUACGUG
This 493-nucleotide ribosomal RNA is filed under the name uncultured bacterium. RNAcentral's name for it is "partial 16S ribosomal RNA". It matches the Rfam family "Bacterial small subunit ribosomal RNA", at positions 28 to 507 of the family's 1533-position model. The record is from RNAcentral.